CACCACACCUGCCCUGAGACCCUUACUAAGCCUCUCUGGUGUCCUUGUGUUUUUCAGGGGGCUGCGCUGUCCAGGCUCUCACCCCCUCCUCAACUAAGUUUGGCCAUUCACCUCAUCUUGAACCCCAAAACCCUCAUUGAGCCCCCACGGGUCUGCUCCAGUUGGAAACUUAGCUGCCCCCGGGAUGGGCUUCUUGAUGGAGGGCCUCGUAGCCCCACAGACCCUGAACCCAGUGGAUCAUGCCACUGCACCCUUCUACACACUACAUCAGCUGGGUCCAGUCUUGAGAAGAGGCCCAAAUGCUCCAGUCCACAAGGCAUGCAGCUCAGCAUGAAGCACCACCGGAUUAAAAACUCUUCAACUGGACGAUGAGGGGCAAGAUGGCGGAAGAGUAGGGUCCCCAAGUCACCUGUCCCCACCAAAUUACCUAGAUAACCUUCAAAUCAUCCUGAAAAUCUAUUAAUUCGGCUGAGAUUUAAAGAGAGAACAGCUGGAACGCUACAGUGAGAAUUCACGCUUCUAUCAAGGUAGGAAGACGCGGGGAAAAAAGAAAUAAAGAAACAAAAGGUAUCCAAGGGGGAGGGGCCUCACGAGGAGCCGGGCUAAG
This 607-nucleotide long non-coding RNA is filed under the name Canis lupus familiaris (dog). RNAcentral's name for it is "lncRNA (ENSCAFG00845018899.1)". Lineage: Eukaryota; Metazoa; Chordata; Mammalia; Carnivora; Canidae. The record is from RNAcentral.